Molecule: long non-coding RNA, 203 nt
Filed under: Gossypium barbadense (sea-island cotton)
Lineage: Eukaryota; Viridiplantae; Streptophyta; Magnoliopsida; Malvales; Malvaceae
Description: long non-coding RNA (GBAR_LNC007341)
Source: RNAcentral
UUUGGUUAAGUCCAUCUUAAUAAAGUGAUUAAGUUUGAAAACGUUUGCUUAGCGGAAGUCUUACUUGUAAUCGUGUUAUUUUGAAAUCACUUAAUGUUUUUGAAAACGAACCCUAGAUCUAGCCCAUUUUGAUAGUUAAUAUAAUUUAAGAUCAUCAUGAUAAAUUAUAGAUCAAAACCCAAAUAAAAAUAAUCAUAAGCGGC